RNAcentral lists this ribosomal RNA (253 nucleotides) under uncultured bacterium. RNAcentral's name for it is "partial 16S ribosomal RNA". It matches the Rfam family "Bacterial small subunit ribosomal RNA", at positions 524 to 776 of the family's 1533-position model. The record is from RNAcentral.
UACGUAGGUGGCAAGCGUCGUCCGGAUUUACUGGGCGUAAAGGAUGUGUAGGCGGAUACUUAAGUGAGAUGUGAAAGCCCCGGGCUCAACCUGGGGACCGCAUUUCAAACUAUGUUACUAGAGUGCAGGAGAGGUAAGCGGAAUUCCUAGUGUAGCGGUGAAAUGCGUAGAUAUUAGGAGGAACACCGGUGGCGAAAGCGGCUCUCUGGCCUGUAACUGACACUGAGGCUCGAAAGCGUGGGGAGCAAACAGG